RNAcentral lists this ribosomal RNA (515 nucleotides) under uncultured eukaryote. RNAcentral describes it as "bacterial SSU rRNA". It matches the Rfam family "Eukaryotic small subunit ribosomal RNA", at positions 21 to 549 of the family's 1831-position model. The record is from RNAcentral.
UGAUCAUAUUCUCAGAUCAAAGACUAAGCCAUGCAUGUCCAAGACUAAACAAGUUGUCAGUGAAUCUGCGUAUGGCUCAAUAAACGAACCAUCACCUCCCCGAGAACAAAGUACAGCUGGCUAACCGUUGUAAUUCAAGGGCUAAUCAUGCGUCAAUAGGGGCUUCGCAAGGAGCUCCUGCAUUUGUUAGUCUCAAAUCAACAUCUUUUGAUGAAUCAUGACAAACUGCGGAUCCUCAUGUUGCAAAAAACGGAGGACGACUCGGUCGGGUCUUUCCCCUAUCAGGUCUCGUAGGGAGUGUAUUGUACUCUCUAGCCUUUGACGGGUAACGGAGAAUUAGGGUUCGAUUCCGGAGAAGGAGCCUGAGAGACGGCUACUACAUCUAAGGAAGGCAGCAGGCGCGCAAAUUUCCCAAUGCUCAUCGAGCGAGGAAGUGACGAUCAAUAAUAAUGUGCGGGGUUUUACCCUGUGCAAUUACAAUGAGUAAAAUGUACAAGCGUUUUCCAUGAUCAAUU